Molecule: ribosomal RNA, 239 nt
Filed under: uncultured Gardnerella sp.
Lineage: Bacteria; Bacillati; Actinomycetota; Actinomycetes; Bifidobacteriales; Bifidobacteriaceae
Description: partial 16S ribosomal RNA
Rfam family: Bacterial small subunit ribosomal RNA
Source: RNAcentral
GCGUGACCAACCUGCCCCAUGCUCCAGAAUAGCUCUUGGAAACGGGUGGUAAUGCUGGAUGCUCCAACUUGACGCAUGUCUUGUUGGAAAGUGUUUAGUGGCAUGGGAUGGGGUCGCGUCCUAUCAGCUUGUAGGCGGGGUAAUGGCCCACCUAGGCUUCGACGGGUAGCCGGCCUGAGAGGGCGGACGGCCACAUUGGGACUGAGAUACGGCCCAGACUCCUACGGGAGGCAGCAGGU